This is an RNA transcript of Colius striatus (speckled mousebird), 6535 nucleotides long. It is a transcript of the gene named family with sequence similarity 151 member B, with no coding region annotated. The record is from RefSeq and is a predicted model, not a curated record. NCBI's taxonomy places the organism in Eukaryota, Metazoa, Chordata, Aves, Coliiformes, Coliidae. The transcript is spliced from 8 exons.
CCCCAGCCCUCGGCGCCGGGGACUGAGGGCUGUCGCUGCCCUUCCGUGCGGCUCGGCUCGGCUUCUGCAGUACCUCGGUCCGCAGGGAGCAGAGGAGGCGGAGGAGCAGACCCUCAGCCGCGGGGCGGGACGAGCCGAUGGCGGAUAAGGUGCAGGGCGCCUGGAGCGAGGAUGUAGUGGAUCAUUUUCUGAGGUCGCAGAGCAUCAGAGCGAGAGAUGGGGCGGCCAUCAGAUGGUUUCACGCCGCGAACAGCAAGGACCGAGCCGGGGAGGCGGCGAGAAGUGAUGUUCACAUGAUAGAAGCAGAUGUUCUUCUUCGUGGUGGCAAGGGAGGAAAUGAAGACCCUAUCAUGGCUCAUCCACCUGAAACAGACAGUGACAACACAUUGCAGGAAUGGCUAGAAGAGAUUGUCGGCACAAAUAAAGGCAUCAAGCUAGAUUUUAAAAGUCUCGAAGCUGUACAGCCUUCCUUGGAGCUUCUUGAAAACGUGAAGCAUCGUUUGAAGCGGCCUGUUUGGAUCAAUGCAGACAUCCUGCCGGGACCUAAUGGAAACAGUACUGUAGUGGAUGCAGAGGGGUUCAUCAGCACCGUCACUUCCUUUUUCCCAAGUGUCACUUUAUCACUGGGAUGGACAACUGGCUGGCACCCUGACAAACACAAUAAAGGUUAUGAUUGGAUGAUGGUGAAAGAAAUGGCACAGAUAUGCAACACGCUUUCGCAGCCAGUAACUUUCCCUGUAAGAGCAGCAUUAGUAUGGCAGUCAAUGCCUGAGCUGUGCUGGUUAGUGCAGCAGUCAGAUAGAUACAGCCUCACCAUUUGGACAGGAAAGGAAGAUGCCUAUUCUGUGGAAGAUUUGCUUUACCUCCGGAAAAACAUUGAUAAAAGCAGAGUUUAUUAUGACAUCUUAGAGCCACAAAAUUCUGAGUUCAAAAAAGCCAUAGGAAUAGAAUAUUAAAUAUAAAGCAGGCAAUCUCUGACAUCAUAGUACUUAGCCUCUUUAAACAUGAAGUUUUCUUGUUUGUGGAAGUACAUUUUCUUUCCCAAAAGAAUUGUGUAGAACGCAGCUGUGGUUAAUGGAGGAGUUUUUGAAUAACACUUUAUUGAAAGGUUUCUCAAGUAGAAAUUUAGUGCCUUCUUUAAUACAUCAGAAUUGUUACUUACUCAUCAUAUGCAUCUUCCCUCUUUCACCUGAUGGCAUAUAGUAAAGCCUACUCAUGUCACCUUAGUAUAGCAGUACUUCUUCCCUGCAAGCAUACAAUUGGGCAAAUAGCUUCCACUCAUAGUUGCAGACCAAGAUAGUUUACUGUUAACUGCUUUUGUGCAAGACAAAGUCUAUGGGACACUCAAAUCUCUACCAAAGCCCGGUUUUACUUUUUGUGGGGGAAGACAAGAGUCGGGACUGUAUUAAGCACAGAACUAUGUAGUUCCCAAAGAGGUUAUUUUGUAGCUAAUCUUGGUACACUUCAUUUUUAGUGCCAUUGUGAUCGGUAUUAUUCUCACUGCUAGUCAAUAGAGAGUUGUGUUUGCCAGAUCUGAAGAGUUGGAUCUGUGAAAGAAUGGUUAUUUCUACUGAAUUACAGCUAAUCGGGUUGUCUGCAAUGUGGCAAUUGUGCAUUGCACACCAUGGCUUGCCUGCAUGUAGUCUGAUGAUCAGCAACAUAGUCCUUGUAUUGUGAGAAGGCUGAAUUGGGCUGCAAGAGAUGCUGGUGCAAACAGAACCCCAAAAUGAAGAAUUGUCCUGUCUUGUACAUAGAGCACAAAUAAUGAUUACAGUGAGGUACACAUCAGAGGCAGCAUCAAAGGAGCUAUAGUGUUUUAUAAGAGAGAAGUGCUGGUGUUUCUUUCAAGGGUUUGAAACUAAAGUAUAAUAGAAAUUACAGAAAGUAUUCUGCUGUAGUCUUUCUGAAAGGCAGAGGCUCUAAGGAUGAAAUAGCUAUACAAUGAUUAGUGCUUACAGCAAAAAAUCUGUUUCUGUGAUAGCACAGUUUUUUCGACCUCUUGUUUGUGCAUCUUUUUAACUCACCGAAUACAAUUUCACAAGUUUACAAAAGUGGAGCUUCCCUUUGAGAACAAAUGAAGUCAUUGCGAUCACCUGCAGGAAGAGUCUGACAUUUCAUUUUAAGCACUUCUUCCUUGUUUAACUUCUUCAUCCCUUAAAAUUAAUACAGGUACUGAAAUCUGCCGGUUGAGAUGUGUACAAGCUGUAUGUUGUUGUCUUCUGCCAAAUAUUACAAAGUGGGAUUUUUUUUUCGCAAUGUCAAGAGAAGAUUCUGAUUUCUCAGUGAAGGCUGAGUCUAUCAAGAGCCAUUACGCUGUCAUCUUCUUACCCUCCUUUUCCCAUUCUCACAUUCUUCCGACAGGAGUUGUGUUGACUUUGAUGUUUAACCUAACAGUGGCUGGACAGGCUGUUAGUACUAAGGAGUUAAUUACAGCAAUUUCUGAUUCCUGCAUAGCAUUGUUGCAACUGUGAUAGAAGAGUUAGUUGGACUUAUUAAUCUGAAGUCUUGAAAUACUUCAUACUGUCAUUAAAAUUCAAGAUUCUUGGUUGUUGCCUACACCUUUUGACCAGGUUUAUUUAAUAAUUCUUGAGGGGUAGAGAUUUCAUCAUUUUUAUAUUAGGAUACAAUACAUUUGAAUAAAAUUAGGAAGUCUUUUUCCAAAUAAAGAAAAAAAAAUCUAGUUGUACUUGGAAUAGUUAAACAAUAGCUUAUCUAAUUUAUGCAGUUGGUGCGAAUGGUGGUAACCAGCAAAAGGUCAAGUUCAGCAGUGUGGUUCCUUUUAGUAAACUGGAAGAAAAUUGUUUAGUUUAUGAUGACAUGAUCUGUUUUGAACAGAUUUAGCCUCUUGAGUUCUUUGUUAUGUCUCUCUCUUUGAUCUUUGUUUGUAUGCUUUGCUGUACCAUGGGAGGAGGAGAGAUUAACUAUUUCCUAACAGGUCAUGAGAAUGGAAAGUAUUGCAAAUACCUAAAGACCUGGAUCAUUUUGACUGAAACGUGUUCAGGAGCUGUUGCAGGAACCUUAUCACAGAGUUUCAUUUUAUGGAUAAUCACCCAUUCACCUGACUCUCCUUCAGGGAGAGCAGCAUUUACAAGUGACCAGAGCUUAUAGACAUUGAUUGAGUCUACAGUACAUACAAUAAAUGAGUAGAAAAUGGUGUAGUUCUGAGUUGUUGGUUUUUUUCUGGAAUAUACCAUUGAAACAGAAGAACUUGGGAACGUCAGCCAGCUUUUGGAAUUAAAUGCAAUAUAGCUGCAGUAGCCAUAAUGGGGCAGGAAGGUGUCUAAGUAACAAAAAUUGCUUUUGAAGGAUAUAAAGAAAUUUGCUUGAGGACAUGUUGCUGUAGUCGUGUCCAGUUAUAGAAUGAAGGGCACCAUUAAAGAGCAUAAGUGGUUUUUCUUUAUUGAUGAUUUUACUAAUUCCAGACUUAAUCUAGAUCUCUUUUCAAGAUAGUGCUAGUCAUUCAGAAGCAGCAAUACUUUCUACCCAUACAUUUAUGUCUUACAGAUUUAAAGUUGAUUUUUUUUCAUGAUAUUUUUGUUCCACAGUUCUGUUCCACAGUUUAUAUAAACAUUUAGGUCUGGCAUGGACUCCUUGGUGUUGUGUCAGCAGCUUGCUGCAGGCAGUUAACAUUUAUUGAGUUAAGAGAUUUUGUCUUUCAGUUAGUUAGACCUUUCUGCAUCCACACUGGCAAAUUGUUCUGUUAUUUAGAAACCCUUUUCUCACUUACCGGUUCCCACUUGAAGUAUUAUAAUUUGUUAAAACUGGUUAAAUUAUUAAGUGAAAACUAUCAGCAGUUACCGGGAGUCCUUCUAACGGUGCAGACAUCAUGGAAGAAGUGUUACUGAGUAAUAUAUGUGCAGAUGAAUAAACAUGGAAAGAAGUAUAUGAAUUACCAAGAAAGUAAAGGUAACCAGACAUGUAAAACUAGAUUAAACAAAGUGUUAGAAGUGAAUGUAAUGUUGCAUUUUUGGAGGGACAAAAGGGUUGAACUAUAUGGUGAAUUUGAUUCUGUAUACAUUAUCCAAUAUAUCUGAAUUUCUAUAUGUUUUUUUUUUUUUUUCCCAUGGAUCUCUGGUACUUCCAUGUAAGGUCUUUAUGUGGUUUGUAUCAGUCUGAUCUGACUCGCGUAGCAGUAAAGUUGUGUGAAUUUUUCUCAGUUUUCAUACCAGUCUUUAUACAAAUGUUCUCAUUUGGAAGUAUGACAAUGUAGCUGUGGGGCUGGCAGUAAGGUAAGGUAAAGUGAGAUAAAAGACAGUUAUUUACUCUGUUGGAAACAGGGAUCUGUGGCAGAUCUGCAUUACUCUAGCUAUUCCUGUCGGGUUUUUUUUUUUCUUUAGCUUCUGUCAGGGAGUCUACUUCUUGUGCUGAAAACUUUGUCCAGGUUCCAUAAACUCUGCCACCUCUUUGUGGAAUUGUUUUCAACAUCAUGUCUGUUGAUCUCUUUCAGACAGAUUUUUAGACUUAAUUAUCCUUAUUACAAGAAAAAUCUGAUUGCCUUUAGUAGAAUUAGGUCUUGUUCUGGAGUCCUGUGUCCAGUUCUGGUCUCCCCAGCUCAAGAGGGACAGGGAACUUCUGGAGAGAGUCCAGUGCAGGGCCACCAAGAUGAUCAGGUGACUGGAAGGUCUUUCAUGUGAGGAAAGACUGCGGGAACUGGGGCUGUUUAGUCUAGACAAGAGGAAACUGAGGAGGGAUCUUAUUAAUAUUUACAAAUAUCUUAAAUGGUGGAUGUCAGGAGGUUGAGGCAGCCAUUCUUUCUGUUGUAUCCAGUGACAGGACAAGAAGAAGGAAACUGGAACACAAAAAGUUCCAUUUAAACAUAAAGAAAAGCUUACUUACUGUUCAGUCAAUAAAUGGAGCCGUGGCACAGGCUGUCCAGGAAGGGUGUGAGUCUCCAUCUCUGGGGGUUUCUAAAACCCGCCUUGAUGCAUUCCAGUGUGAUCUGAUCUGGGUGGACCUGCUUUGGCAGGGAAGUUGGACUAGAUGAUAUUUAGAGGUCUCUCUAGCCCCCACGAUUCUGCCUGAUAGCUGGUGCAGUCCUUUUUUUCUGAUUUAGUGUGAUACAGUGCUGAUAACACGCGAAUUCAGGCUUAUCCUAGGUGAAGGACUCUAGUUUCCCGUGUUCUGCUGGCACACAGGUGCACAAGAAGCUGGGAGGGAGUAUGGCCAGGACAGCUGAUGCAGACCCUGUACUAUUCUCUGAUUCUGUGUGAUUGUUCAAGACGUCCAGAAGCACUCCUGGACCUGGUUGGUUGGAGAUGAAGGCCCCCCUGUGAAUAUGGGAUUACCUGAUAUCACGGACUGUCUCUCUACUGGUUACUUUGUGCCAGAAGCAAUCUGGUCAAAGCCCACCAGGAAAAACAUUUUCUUUUUUAUUGAUACUUGACAUCUCCCACCACCAAAUGAACCUUACAGCAAGUAAAGUCCCUUUUCCUGGGAUUUUCUUGCAUGGCAGCUGCCUGGGACAUCUGAUGGUGCCUGUGCAGUAUCCUCAAGCACACCUGGGACAUCCCACUGAUACCCCUCCUGCUCCAAGGAUAAUUUCUUGGAAUGCUGAUUCCCACAAAAGCACACGGUAACAGCUCUACAGCACACUUUGCAGAAGCUUUAGUUGCCUUUUGUCAUGCUAACUUUUCGCAGUGGGGAGGCACGGACGAUUCAAUAGCUACACUACGAUACAAUGGCUGCACGUGAGACCUGCAGCAACAGCUUCCUCUCCCUCGAAAAGAGUGUUAAUUGCGGUGAUCGCAGUGCUAUUACCGUGCAAGGUCUUGUACUCGUCUAUUUUAAAAAGCACCCGCUGACUCAAAGUAUAUCCACCGCUGUCUCAGUGACUAAUAAAAGACAACAGGUGAAUGUAGCAAACAAAAAAGUGAGGCAGCAAACAAAGAGGGGAGGUGAGGGCAGAGUAGCAGUGAAACAAUCCUUCAUGCUCGGUAUAGUCACAGCAGCAGUCACGGGGCACCAGCAUCCUUGAUGCCCCGUGAGGGGCUUUUUUAGGCAUCAAUAGGAGAGGCAAGUUUCCAGGGACAAUGUGAAGGAGAUUCGUGCCGCUAUACUUUUCAGAAGCGCAUGACAGGAUCGGUUAGAUACUGGCAUGACUAAGAGCUUGAUGAAUUGUAUGAAUAAGCCACUAAGGCAAGCAACAUCGCAAAGGCAGGUUCUUGAGUUACUGUUUAACCUUGUCUUUCGAAAACUAAGUCGGGAGAAUGUCCGCAGACGUUUGGGUUUUGGUUUUUUUUCUCUUUCUGCGGCGUGAUUCUAAUUAUCUUUGUUUCCAUUUACUCUCUACACCUCAUCCAUGUUAUUAAUACUCAGCCUUUGCCGACCAGUCUCGGAAAGGCAUGUGUAUUGAACACCCACUCUCCGGGAAGGUUACUGCUCUUCUCAGACCUGUUGUUGUGCAAAUUAUAUAAGGUACGGGGGCGGUGUAUACUUGUGUGUGGUUCAUCAAUUCUACUGCCGGAGCAUCUUCACUUCUGUGGUUUCUGCAGCUCUCAUGUACACUCUGCCUUCCGUCCUUGCCUGCGUGGUACUG